RNAcentral lists this long non-coding RNA (5050 nucleotides) under Capsicum annuum. RNAcentral's name for it is "long non-coding RNA (CANN_LNC010821)". Lineage: Eukaryota; Viridiplantae; Streptophyta; Magnoliopsida; Solanales; Solanaceae. The record is from RNAcentral.
CCCUUAAGGCUCAGAUCAGUAUAAUCAGGGCAAAGGAGACAAUGCAUCCGCCAUGGCGACUGACCUCAGCUGCACUACAGCUCAAUCAGCUCACAGUACCUUCCGGAUCGCCCCACCAAGAUACGGACCCAGCUCCCUUGCCCCUAUGAACUCUAGACAGCUUAAAUCAUCACAGCCUCUAAUUUAUAACAGCAACAACAACAGCAACAGCGAAAACCCAUUUCAAGGAUUUCAAUGCUGAUCAUGGAUGAUGAUGAUGAUGAAGAAGUUUCGGUAUGCAUGUUGCAGAAAGUUCCAAUUUUAAGGCUCAGAUCAGUAUAAUCAAAGCAAAGGAGACAAUGCAUCCACCAUGGCUGCACUACAAAUAGGGUCUUCCAGGUUGCCCCGCCAAGAUGCGGGUCCAGCUCCCUUACCCUAUGAACUCGAGACACCAUAAUCAUCACAGCCUCUCAUCCAUAAAAGCAACAACAACGGCAAAACCCUUAUCAGUAUAUGUCUAGAGAGAUAUAUGUGUGUAUGUCUACCCUUUUUUGGGCAUUCUUUAAGGCUCAGAUAAGGAGACAAUGCAUCCGCCAUGGCUGCAGACAUCAGCUGCACUACAGCUCAAUCAGCUCAUAGUACCUUACAGGUCGCCCCGCCAAGAUACGGACCCAGCUCCCUUUCCCUUGUGAACUCUAGACAGCUUAAAUCAUCACAGCCUCUAAUCCGUAACAGCAACAACAAUAUCAACAACAACAGUGAAAACCCAUUUCAAGGAUUUCAACGCUGACCAUGGAUGAUGAUGAUGAAGAAGUUUCUAUAUACAUACUGCAGAAAGUUCCGAUUUUAAGGCUCAGAUUUACAAAAUGAGGGCAAAGGAGACAAUGCAACCGCCAUGGCUGCAAACCUCAGUUGCACUACAAACAUAGUACCUUCCAGGUUGCCCCGCCGAGAUACGGGCACAGCUCCCUUACCCCAUGAACUCCAUAUAUCAUCACAGCCUAUCAUCCGUAAAAGCAACAACAAUAUCAUCAUCAUCAUCAACAACAACAACAACAACAAAAACCCAUGUCAUGAAUUUCAAUGCCAGAAAAAGGAGAAGAAGAAGAAGCAACAACAAAAUGGUCAAAUCUUAAAACCUUACCCCUUCAUUCUUUUAUUGUGUGUGUAUGUAUACAUACUGCAAAAACUUCCGAUUCAAUGCAACAGCUUAACCAAACGACCCUUAAGAUAAAAUGGUGGUUUAUUUUUCACUUUAUUUUUUCACCAGAAAAUGGAAAUCAACGGUUAAACAGAGAGAGGGCAACCACCAUUAGAAGACACCCCAAUACCUCUCUGUUUGCCUCAUUUUCAAAAAUUCAUAGAUUAUAUAUAUAUAAAUAUAUAUAUAUAGAGAGAGAGAGAAAGAGAGAGAGAUGUAUAUGUAUACACACUGCAGAAACUACUGAUUUUAAGGCUCAGAACAGAAUAAUCAGAGCAAAGGAGGCAAUGCAUCCGCCAUGGCUGCACUUCAAAUAGGCUUUCCAGGUUGCCCCGCCGAGAUACGGAUCCAGCUCCCUUGCCCCAUGAACCCUAGAGACCUUAAAUAUCACAGCCUCUAAUCCUUAAGGGGUCGUUUGGUUGGGAACAAGUUAUUGGAGAUUAGUUAUCACACCAUGUAUAUGGGAUAACUUAUUCCAUCACUAUGCAUAAAUGGUGGAUUAAAUAAUCCCAAGACUAAAUCAUGCAUUUUAUCCCAGGACUAUCAUGCCUUAUACCUUAUGCCUCAUACCUCAUGCCAAACGACUCCUAAGAGCAACAACAACAACAUCAACAACGGCAAAACCCUUCUCAGAAUAUAUCACCAGUCAUAAGAUUUUCCUGUAUAUAUGUAUAGAGAUAUGUAUGUGUAUAUGUAUACCCUUUUUUGGGGCAUUUUUAAGGCUCAGAUCAGUAUAAUCAGGGCAAGGGAAACAACCCAUCCGCCAUGGCUGCAGACCUCAGCUGCACUACAGCUCAAUCAGCUCAUAGUACCUUACAGGUCGCCCCGCCAAGAUACGGACCCAGCUCCCUUUCCCUUGUGAACUCUAGACAGCUUAAAUCAUCACAGCCUCUAAUCCGUAACAGCAACAACAAUAUCAACAACAACAGUGAAAACCCAUUUCAAGGAUUUCAACGCUGACCAUGGAUGAUGAUGAUGAAGAAGUUUCUAUAUACAUACUGCAGAAAGUUCCGAUUUUAAGGCUCAGAUUUACAAAAUGAGGGCAAAGGAGACAAUGCAACCGCCAUGGCUGCAGACCUCAGUUGCACUACAAACAUAGUACCUUCCAGGUUGCCCCGCCGAGAUACGGGCACAGCUCCCUUACCCCAUGAACUCCAUAUAUCAUCACAGCCUAUCAUCCGUAAAAGCAACAACAAUAUCAUCAUCAUCAUCAACAACAACAACAACAACAAAAACCCAUGUCAUGAAUUUCAAUGCCAGAAAAAGGAGAAGAAGAAGAAGCAACAACAAAAUGGUCAAAUCUUAAAACCUUACCCCUUCAUUCUUUUAUUGUGUGUGUAUGUAUACAUACUGCAAAAACUUCCGAUUCAAUGCAACAGCUUAACCAAACGACCCUUAAGAUAAAAUGGUGGUUUAUUUUUCACUUUAUUUUUUCACCCGAAAAUGGAAAUCAACGGUUAAACAGAGAGAGGGCAACCACCAUUAGAAGACACCCCAAUACCUCUCUGUUUGCCUCAUUUUCAAAAAUUCAUAGAUUAUAUAUAUAUAAAUAUAUAUAUAUAGAGAGAGAGAGAAAGAGAGAGAGAUGUAUAUGUAUACACACUGCAGAAACUACUGAUUUUAAGGCUCAGAACAGAAUAAUCAGAGCAAAGGAGGCAAUGCAUCCGCCAUGGCUGCUACCCAGUGUAUUCCCACAAAGUGGGGUCUGGGGAGGGUAAAGUGUACGCAGUCCAUAUCACUACCUCAGAUGAAGUAUAGAGGCUAUUUCCAAUAGACCCCGGCACAGGACAAAUAACUCUUGUCCUCGUCCAUAACAGCAGCAAACAAAACAACAACUAUAUCAACCACGUCAAAAAAAAACUUUUUCAAGGAUUCAUGCAUGUAUGUGUACCUGUAUACAUACUGCAUGCCCUAUUUUCAGCUCAAAUAUACAAAAUGAGGACAAAGGAGACAAUGCAUCCACCAUGGCUGCAGACCUCAGCUGCACUACAGCUCAAUCAAGUAUAAUCAGAAACUUCUGAUUUUAAGGCUCAGAUCAGUAUAAUCAUACAUCAAACAUUGCUGCAGAACCUCGGUUGCUCUACAAAUAAGGCCUUCCCGGUCGCCCCGCCAAGCUACGGGCAUAGCUCCGUUACCCCAUGAACUCUAGACACCACAAUCAUCACAGCCUCACAUUGUAACACCACCACCAACAACAACAACAACAACAUCAACGACAGCGAAACCCCAUUUCAAGGAUUUCAAUGCAAGCCAUAUAUGAUGAUGAUGAGUAAAGAGAAGAAGCAACAACUAAAGGAUCAAAUCUUAAGCCCUAAACCCUUAAUUUCUUUAUAUAUAUAUAUAUAUAGAUAGAUAGAUAGAGAGAGAGAGAGAGAGAGAGAGAGAGAGAGAGAGAGAUUAUUGUGUAUGUAUACAAACUGCAGAAACUUUUUCUAAUUUCAUCGAAAGUUUCAAUGCAACAGCGUAACCAAACAGACACUUAAGGCUCAGAUCAGUAUAAUCAGGACAAAGGAGACAAUGCAUCCGCCAUGGCUGCUGACCUCAGCUGCACUACAGCUCAUAUUACCUUCCAGGUCGCCCCACCAAGAUACGGACCCAACUCCCUUACCCCCACGAACUCUAGACAGCUUAAUCAUCACAGUGUAUCAUUUAUAAUAGCAACAACAUCAACAACAACGACAAUAUCAGCUUGGUAUGUGUGUAUGUAUGCAUACUGCAGAAACUUUUCGAUUUUCAGCGAAAUUUUCAAUGCAACAGCUUAACCAAACAGACCCUUCAGAUAAAAUCAGGCAAAAAGGAGACAAAGCAACCGCCAUGGCUGCAGACCUUCAGUUGCAAGACAAUGGAAGCUACCAUACCGGGUCGCCCCGCCAAGAUACGGGUCAGCUCCAAAUACCCGACCCGACCCGAACUCUAGACAGCUUAAUCAUCACAGCCUAUCAUUCGUAACAGCAACAACAACAACAAUAUCAGCUUAAUGUGUGUGUAUGUAUACAUACUGCAGAAACUUUUUCGAUUUUCAUCGAAAUUUAUCAUGCAACAGCUUCAACCAAACAGAGCCUUAAGAUAAAAUCAGGCAAACAAGGAGACAAAGCAAACCGCCAUGGCUGCAGGUCUUUCCGGGUCGCCCCGCCAAGAUACGGGUUAAGCUCCAAAUACCCGACCCAACCCGAACUCUAGACUGCUUAAUCAUCACAGCCUAUAUCAUUCGUAAAAGCAACAACAAUAUCAGCUUUGAGUGUGUAUAUAUAUGUGUGUGUAUGUAUACAUACUGCAGAAACUUUUCGAUUUUCAUCGAAAUUUUUCAUGCAACAGCUUAACCAGACCCUUAAGAUAAAAUCAGGCAAAGCAACCCGCCAUGGCUGCAGACCUUGCCGGGUCGACCCGCCAAGAUACGGGUUAAGCUCCAAAUACCCGACCCGAACUCUAAUAGUGUGUGCCUAUGACUCUCCGUUUUCAAUGCAACAUCUUAACCAAACAGACCCUUAAGAUAAAAUUGUGGAUUAUAUUUUUGGCGGGAAAAUGGAAAUAAUUGGCGAAAACAGAGAGGGCAACCACCAUUAAAAGACUCCCCAUUACCUCUGUUUCGCUCAAUUUUUAUUUUUCGUCUUAAGUUGAAGAAAAAUGAAAAUUGUUAAGGGGAUUUUAUACUAUUUUUUUUUGUUUUUUCAUUCCCAAUUAAUGUGAAUUCAGCCCAUUUAGCUAUUCCUCCCAACAGAGUUUUCUCCAUAGCUAGGAUCGAAUCAUCAAUCUUUGGUUAGCAGGAUUUUAUACUAUAGUUUCAUUGAUACAUUUUUUUAAAUAUGUUUUAAGAAAAUGAUCCUUUUUAUUUUAGUAACCCUUUCAUUCCAAUUUUUCAAAUUAAUAUUU